AUCAUGGCUCAGAACGAACGCUGGCGGCGUGGAUAAGACAUGCAAGUCGAACGGGGUUUUCUUUGGUAGCAAUACCGAGGAAAGUCCAGUGGCGAACGGGUGCGUAACACGUGGGCAAUCUGCCUUAAAGUGGGGGAUAGCUCGGCGAAAGCCGAAUUAAUACCGCAUGUGAUCAGGGGAGAUAUCUUCCCGAAAUCAAAAGUGGCGCAAGCUACUGCUUUUUGAGGAGCCCGCGGCCUAUCAGCUAGUUGGUGAGGUAAUGGCUCACCAAGGCUUUGACGGGUAGCUGGUCUGAGAGGACGACCAGUCACACUGGAACUGAGACACGGUCCGGACACCUACGGGUGGCAGCAGUCGAGAAUUUUUCUCAAUGGGGGAAACCCUGAAGGAGCGACGCCGCGUGGAGGAUGAAGGUCUUCGGGUUGUAAACUCCUGUCAUUUGGGAACAAGUCGGACGUAGUAACUAUACGUGCGUUAUAGUACCAAAAGAAAGACGGCUAAUCUGC
This 506-nucleotide ribosomal RNA is filed under the name uncultured bacterium. Its description in RNAcentral is "bacterial SSU rRNA". It matches the Rfam family "Bacterial small subunit ribosomal RNA", at positions 16 to 505 of the family's 1533-position model. The record is from RNAcentral.